Molecule: ribosomal RNA, 633 nt
Filed under: Parasphaerocera sp. JHK-2012
Lineage: Eukaryota; Metazoa; Arthropoda; Insecta; Diptera; Sphaeroceridae
Description: eukaryotic LSU rRNA
Rfam family: Eukaryotic large subunit ribosomal RNA
Source: RNAcentral
CAGUUCAGCACUAAGUCACUUUGCUUUUAUGGUAAAUGUGAGAUGCAGUGUAUGGAACAUCAUAUAUCUAAUAUGAGAAAUUAACGAUUUAAGUCCUUCUUAAAUGAGGCCAUUUACCCAUAGAGGGUGCCAGGCCCGUAUAACGUUGAUGAUUAUUAGAUGGUGUUUCCAAAGAGUCGUGUUGCUUGAUAGUGCAGCACUAAGUGGGUGGUAAACUCCAUCUAAAACUAAAUAUAACCAUGAGACCGAUAGCAAACAAGUACCGUGAGGGAAAGUUGAAAAGAACUCUGAAUAGAGAGUUAAAUAGUACGUGAAACUGCUUAGAGGUUAAGCCCGAUGAACCUGAAUAUCCAUUGUGGAAAAUUCAGCAUUGCUAUUAGUAACCAGUGUGCAAUUUUUCCACAUAAGGACAUUGUAAUCUAUUAACAAUGUAUAUAUUUAUCAUAAGAUCGCUUGCGAAAGUUUAUUCAAAUUAAUUUGCUUGCAUAUUAACAUAGAAUAAAUGCAUGGCGAUUGGAUAAAGUGUUGAUAGAUUUAUUAUAUAUAGUGCUUAAAUUCAUUCGAAUUUUAUAAUGACAUUUUAAUCAUUGAUUUCAUAUGUUCAUUAUAUGCGCUUAUAUGAUUGACAAUGCG